AUCCAGAUGAUUGGUCCCAAACAGGACGAAGUGCUCAUCCUGGAU
This 45-nucleotide non-coding RNA is filed under the name Trichobilharzia regenti. Lineage: Eukaryota; Metazoa; Platyhelminthes; Trematoda; Strigeidida; Schistosomatidae. The record is from RNAcentral.